RNAcentral lists this ribosomal RNA (449 nucleotides) under uncultured bacterium. RNAcentral describes it as "partial 16S ribosomal RNA". It matches the Rfam family "Bacterial small subunit ribosomal RNA", at positions 29 to 523 of the family's 1533-position model. The record is from RNAcentral.
AAUGAACGCUGGCGGCAGGCCUAACACAUGCAAGUCGAACGGAUCCUUCGGGCUUAGUGGCGGACGGGUGAGUAACGCGUGGGAACAUAUCCUUUGGUACGGAAUAGCCUCGGGAAACUGGGAGUAAUACCGUAUGUGGUCGAGAGACGAAAGAUUUAUCGCCAAAGGAUAGGCCCGCGUUGGUUUAGGUAGUUGGUGGGGUAAUGGCCUACCAAGCCGACGAUCCAUAGCUGGUUUGAGAGGUUGAUCAGCCACACUGGGACUGAGACACGGCCCAGACUCCUACGGGAGGCAGCAGUGGGGAAUCUUAGACAAUGGGGGAAACCCUGAUCUAGCCAUGCCGCGUGAUCGAUGAAGGCCUUAGGGUUGUAAAGAUCUUUCAGGUGGGAAGAUAAUGACUGUACCACCAGAAGAAGCCCCGGCUAACUCCGUGCCAUCCGCCGCCGUAA